UGCCAGCCGCCGCGGUAAUACGGAGGGUGCGAGCGUUAAUCGGAAUCACUGGGCGUAAAGCGUACGUAGGCGGCGUAUCAAGUCAGGCGUGAAAGCCCUCGGCUCAACCGAGGAAUUGCGUUUGAAACUGGUAUGCUAGAGUCUCGGAGAGGUUGGCGGAAUUCCAGGUGUAGGAGUGAAAUCCGUAGAUAUCUAGGAAGGAACACCAAUAGCGAAAGCAGUGCUCUGGCACAUUCCUGACAUUGAGGUGCGAAAGCGUGGGGAUCAAAAGGGAUUAGAUA
RNAcentral lists this ribosomal RNA (281 nucleotides) under uncultured bacterium. Its description in RNAcentral is "partial 16S ribosomal RNA". It matches the Rfam family "Bacterial small subunit ribosomal RNA", at positions 506 to 784 of the family's 1533-position model. The record is from RNAcentral.